AGUCAUAUGCUUGUGUUAAAGAUUAAGCCAUGCAUGCCUAAGUAUAAACUGUACUAACGGUAAAACUGCGGACGGCUCCAUAGAUCAGUUAUUGUUCGUUUGGUGAACAAAGUACUUGGAUAACCCUGUUAAUUGUAGAGCUAAUACAUGCACCGACAACCCAGCGGGAGACCUAAGGGUUGCACUUGUCCAAACUUAACAGCCUUGGGAAUUAUUUGCUGUCGGACGAGACCGGGGAGGGACUAAAGUGGGUACCUGAGAAAGAAUCACAUAUAUAAAAUUUGGGAGGAAGCAAAAAGCCAACACGGCUAAGACCUAAGUGGAAAUAUGUGGGACCUUGGCUGAUGGCCUUCUUUAGGCAACUAAAGGGGGGCGCCCAUUGUUAUAAAACCUCAGGUUACUGGCCUUAGAACUGUUAAUCCGGUGUGGUUACGGCAAGUCUUUUACUGAGGGAUAGGGUGAAACGGGACAAUUCAAAGCCGAUCGCCACAUUGUGGCGACACGCCAUUCGAAUUUCUGACCUAUCAACUUGAUGGUAGGGUAGUGGCCUACCAUGGUAAUAACGGGUAACGGGGAAUUAGGGCUCGAUUCCGGAGAGGGAGCCUGAGAAACGGCUACCACUUCCAAGGAAGGCAGCAGGCGCGUAAAUUACUCCCUGCCGACACGGCGAGGUAGUGACGACAAAUACCAAGGGCAGCCGCCUAUGGUGGCUGCCCAUUGGAAUGAGCAGAAUUUAAAACCCUCUGCAAGUAACAAUUGGAGGGCAAGUCUGGUGCCAGCAGCCGCGGUAAUUCCAGCUCCAAAAGUGUAUACUAAAGCUGUUGCGGUUAAAACGCUCGUAGUUGAAUUCCAACAUCCGGAACCAAGGCGUUGGAGUGGAUACUCAAGGUUAAUUAUUUAAUCACGCAAGUGAAUAAAUGAUCCCUUCCGAACCCCCACCGCACCGGAGAAGUUUGAAACCACAAUACUUUCCGUAUUUCCACAAGAGCUCUUAAUUGAGCACCUUGGAACAUAAGACACCUCGACCGACAAGGAAGAGGGGGAAUAUGGAGUCUUUGUUUACCUUGAAUAAACUAGAGUGAUUCAAGCAGGCGUUUCGCCAUUGAAUACAUUAGCAUGGGAUAAACAAUAAAAAAUGUCGGGGCCACAUCGAAACUGCACUUGGACAAAGUACAUUAAGAGGAGUACUCAAGUGGUAUUCUUGCUCAUAGCAUAUAAGAGCUUAAUAGUCUCAAUGGUUAGCUUGGCUAUCCAGGGGGGAUACAGACCUUUAUUAAUGUGGUCGCCGAGACCCAUUAUCAAAGGGUGUCCAUGCCGCAAGGUAUAUAUUAAGUUCUGCGACCGAGAAGAAUAAUAACUAAGUACUGAUAAAGACUCUUUGCGGAAAUUGAAGGGUGUAAGCCGGUCGUUUAACUCCGAUCGUCGGCUCUGUAUUAUAUAAUAAGCAAUUGUUAUAUAUUAUAAGUACCGGCGUUAACGCUCAAAUAGGGACAGCCGGGGUGGUUCAUACUUCCUUGUUAGGGGUGAAAUCCUAUGAUUAAGGAAAGAUGAACUAGUGCGAAAGCAUUCCACAAGGAUGUUUUCAUUGAUCAAGAACGAAAGUUGGGGGAUCGAAGACGAUCAGAUACCGUCGUAGUCUCAACCAUAAACGAUGCCGACCAGAGAUCGGAGGACGCUAUCCGAAAGGAUAAGCGGCUCCCCCGGCACCUUUGAGAGAAAUCAAAAGUGUCUAGGCUUCGGGGGGAGUACGGUCGCAAGGCUGAAACUUAAAGGAAUUGACGGAAGGGCACACCAGGAGUGGAGCCUGCGGCUUAAUUUGACUCAACACGGGGAAACUUACCAGGACCAGACAGUGGAAGGAUUGACAGAUUGAGAGCUCUUUCUAGAUUCGCUGGGUGGUGGUGCAUGGCCGUUCUUAGUUCGUGGUGUAAAUUGUCUGUGUCAAUUCCGCUAACGGACGAGACCUUAACCUGCUAAAUAAUGUUGGACAGAGGCAUUGUAAGAUGGAAGUUAGUAGCAAUACUAAUGAAAGGCUUACAAAACUCUAGUAAAAAAUCGUCCUCUCGACGGCUUAUGAUGCUCUCUUAAGCUUUCACCCGCAAGGAUGGGGGUUUGGGCGGAGAUAGUAAGUUGCAGGGACGAACCAACUUCUUAGAGGGACUAGUUGCUCCCUAGCGACUGGAAGAAUGAGGCAAUAACAGGUCUGUGAUGCCCUUCGAUGCCCUGGGCCGCACGCGCGCUACACUGAUUGAGAGAAUGAGUUUGAGUGCGCCUCUUGAACCGCCUGUGGUCGAAAGACUAUAGGAGGAUUAAGGGGAUAAGCACCUACCCUGGGUCGAAAGGCUACCUUGGGAAAUCUGAGAAAACUCAAUCGUGAUUGGGAUAGACCUUUGUAAUUAUUGGUCUUGAACGAGGAAUUCCUCGUAAGCGCGGGUCAUCAGCUCGCGUUGAUUACGUCCCUGCCCUUUGUACACACCGCCCGUCGCUCCUACCGAUUGGAUGAUCCGGUGAAGAUAACGGAUGUGCAUGGCAUCACUUUAAACGAAAGUUUAAUAAUGCCAACCAGAAGUUAUCUAAACCUUAUUAUCUAGAGGAAGGAGAAGUCGUAACAAGGUUUCC
This 2619-nucleotide ribosomal RNA is filed under the name Mastigamoeba sp. IC-2012f. RNAcentral describes it as "partial small subunit ribosomal RNA". It matches the Rfam family "Eukaryotic small subunit ribosomal RNA". Lineage: Eukaryota; Evosea; Mastigamoebida; Mastigamoebidae. The record is from RNAcentral.